AUUCCAGCUCCAAUAGCGUAUAUUAAAGUUGUUGCAGUUAAAAAGCUCGUAGUCGGAUUUUGGCAUCACGCCGAACUGUCUGCCGAUUGGUAAGUACGGUUUGGCGGGUGCUUCCUUCCGGAGGCUCGUUCCCUUCUUCAUUGAAGGGUUCGUUGGUUCCGGGUCUUUUACUUUGAGAAAAUUAGAGUGUUCAAAGCAGGCCUAUGCUCUGAAUAGGUUAGCAUGGAAUAAUAGAAUAGGACUUUGGUUCUAUUUUGUUGGUUUCUAGGACCGAAGUAAUGAUUAAUAGGGACAGUCAGGGGCACUCGUAUUCCGCCGGGAGAGGUGAAAUUCUCAGACCAGCGGAAGACGAACCACUGCGAAAGCAUUUGCCAGGGAUGUUUUCAUCA
Molecule: ribosomal RNA, 389 nt
Filed under: Picozoa sp.
Lineage: Eukaryota; Picozoa
Description: partial small subunit ribosomal RNA
Rfam family: Eukaryotic small subunit ribosomal RNA
Source: RNAcentral